This 400-nucleotide ribosomal RNA is filed under the name uncultured bacterium. Its description in RNAcentral is "bacterial SSU rRNA". It matches the Rfam family "Bacterial small subunit ribosomal RNA", at positions 356 to 773 of the family's 1533-position model. The record is from RNAcentral.
GGGGAAUAUUGCGCAAUGGAGGGAACUCUGACGCAGCAACGCCGCGUGAAGGAUGAAGGUUUUCGGAUUGUAAACUUCUUUGAUCGGGGACGAAAAUGACGGUACCCGAGGAACAAGCCACGGCUAACUACGUGCCAGCAGCCGCGGUAAUACGUAGGUGGCAAGCGUUGUCCGGAAUUACUGGGUGUAAAGGGCGCGUAGGCGGGAGAGCAAGUCAGAUGUGAAAUCCCAGGGCUUAACUCUGGAGCUGCAUCUGAAACUGUUUUUCUUGAGUACUGGAGAGGAAAGUGGAAUUCCUAGUGUAGCGGUGAAAUGCGUAGAGAUUAGGAGGAACACCAGUGGCGAAGGCGGCUUUCUGGACAGUAACUGACGCUGAGGCGCGAAAGCGUGGGGAGCAAAC